Molecule: long non-coding RNA, 715 nt
Organism: Olea europaea var. sylvestris
Lineage: Eukaryota; Viridiplantae; Streptophyta; Magnoliopsida; Lamiales; Oleaceae
Exons: 2
Source: RefSeq, a predicted model, not a curated record
AAUUUUCCCACAAUUCAUUCCAAUUUCCCCCAAUUCAUUUUACGCAAGAACCGUAGUGGGCCAAAGCUCCCACCCCAUCCGACGCCACUCAUCAGCACCACCGGCCGAUGCACUCACCGACACCACCGACCAACGCACUCACCUCCACUGACCAUUGUUAUGCCUGAAAUCGAAACCCUUGGAAAAAUCUCUGGCGUCGCACACGAAACCGAUUUCUGAGUUUCCGGAGCACUGACUUCCAUCCUCGAAGCUGCACUCACAUCCCUUCAUAGUCAUAGUGGACGACAGCAGUUAUCGAUUAGAAUGAGGGGAAGAAAUUUUGGAGUUUGUCACGAUUGUAGAACACUCACAACUUUGGACAAUACCAAACAAAACGUGGAUGCCCUUGGUAUAAAGAUGGAUUCCGACUAUGUUUUGAGGUCGAACGGGAUACUAGAAACAAAUGGUGCUUGUUCUUCAUGUGUAGUAAUGAUUGUUAUUUCGACUGGGUUGAAAAAGAAGAUUCAAGCGGGGAAUCAGUUGCCUACUAUGAUGUUAAGUUGUAUUUGCUAAAUGUAUCAUUGUAAUGUACUCACUGUUUGGACAUGGAUUUGUCAUUCUGGUUUAUCUUGUAGUAGUAUUUGCAAAAUGUCAAUUAUGCAACAUGAGUGUAUGCAUGUUAGUUAUUCAAUUAAGAACAUAUAUUCCUGUGAUAGUGUUGGUUUAAUUCAAUUAA